UCCAGACUCCUACGGGAGGCAGCAGUGGGGGAUAUUGCACAAUGGGGGGAACCCUGAUGCAGCGACGCCGCGUGGGUGAAGGAGCGUUUCGGCGCGUAAAGCCCUCUCGGCAGGGAAGAAGGAGGACGGUACCUGACUAAGAAGCCCCGGCUAACUACGUGCGAGCAGCCGCGGUAAUACGUAGGGGGCAAGCGUUAUCCGGAUUUACUGGGUGUAAAGGGGGCGCAGACGGCAGCGCAAGCCAGGAGUGAAAGCCCGGGGCCCAACCCCGGGACUGCUCUUGGAACUGCGCGGCUGGAGUGCAGGAGGGGCAGGCGGAAUUCCUGGUGUAGCGGUGAAAUGCGUAGAUAUCAGGAGGAACACCGGUGGCGAAGGCGGCCUGCUGGACUGCGACUGACGUUGAGGCCCGAAAGCGUGGGGAGCAAACAGGAUUAGAUACCCGAGUA
This 446-nucleotide ribosomal RNA is filed under the name uncultured bacterium. Its description in RNAcentral is "partial 16S ribosomal RNA". It matches the Rfam family "Bacterial small subunit ribosomal RNA", at positions 330 to 792 of the family's 1533-position model. The record is from RNAcentral.